UGGUCUCCAACCUUUGUACUAUUUUCUACUUUGGUUUCUAACAUUUUUUUAUUUUACAAUCUCAACCUCUUAAUUUUGUUGUGAUUACGUCCCAACCGUUAAAAGAUCUGUUAAAAUUAACGAAAUCUUCUUGUCAGCGCCUACUUGUAUUUCUUUACGUGUAAAUUUUGGUCUUUAAACUUUACAUAUUUUUCACUUUAGUCUUCACAAAUUAAAAUUCAAAAUUUUAAAUUUAAAUUCAAAAUUAAUAAUAAAAUUAAAAUUUUAAACUAAACGAAAAUUAGAAUUUUGAAUUUGAAUUAAAUUUUGAAUUUGAAGUAAAAUU
Molecule: long non-coding RNA, 325 nt
Filed under: Ananas comosus (pineapple)
Lineage: Eukaryota; Viridiplantae; Streptophyta; Magnoliopsida; Poales; Bromeliaceae
Description: long non-coding RNA (ACOM_LNC030784)
Source: RNAcentral